CUGUCAGCAGCCGCGGUAAUACGUAGGGGGCGAGCGUUGUCCGGAUUCAUUGGGCGUAAAGAGCUCGUAGGCGGCUUGAUAAGUCGGGUGUGAAACCUCCAGGCUCAACUUGGAGCAGCCACUCGAUACUGUUAUGGCUUGAGUCCGGUAGGGGGCCACGGAAUUCCUGGCGUAGCGGUGAAAUGCGCAGAUAUCAGGAGGAACACCGGUGGCGAAGGCGGUGGCCUGGGCCGGUACUGACGCUGAGGAGCGAAAGCGUGGGGAGCGAACAGGAUUAGAUACCCGUGUAGUCC
This 293-nucleotide ribosomal RNA is filed under the name uncultured bacterium. RNAcentral describes it as "partial 16S ribosomal RNA". It matches the Rfam family "Bacterial small subunit ribosomal RNA", at positions 505 to 796 of the family's 1533-position model. The record is from RNAcentral.